RNAcentral lists this ribosomal RNA (2900 nucleotides) under Klebsiella pneumoniae. RNAcentral describes it as "bacterial LSU rRNA". It matches the Rfam family "Bacterial large subunit ribosomal RNA". The record is from RNAcentral. Lineage: Bacteria; Pseudomonadati; Pseudomonadota; Gammaproteobacteria; Enterobacterales; Enterobacteriaceae.
UUAAGCGACUAAGCGUACACGGUGGAUGCCCUGGCAGUCAGAGGCGAUGAAGGACGUGCUAAUCUGCGAAAAGCGUCGGUAAGGUGAUAUGAACCGUUAUAACCGGCGAUGUCCGAAUGGGGAAACCCAGUGCAAUUCGUUGCACUAUCGUUAACUGAAUACAUAGGUUAACGAGGCGAACCGGGGGAACUGAAACAUCUAAGUACCCCGAGGAAAAGAAAUCAACCGAGAUUCCCCCAGUAGCGGCGAGCGAACGGGGAGCAGCCCAGAGUCUGAAUCAGCUUGUGUGUUAGUGGAACGGUCUGGAAAGUCCGACGGUACAGGGUGAUAGUCCCGUACACCAAAAUGCACAGGCUGUGAACUCGAAGAGUAGGGCGGGACACGUGGUAUCCUGUCUGAAUAUGGGGGGACCAUCCUCCAAGGCUAAAUACUCCUGACUGACCGAUAGUGAACCAGUACCGUGAGGGAAAGGCGAAAAGAACCCCGGCGAGGGGAGUGAAAAAGAACCUGAAACCGUGUACGUACAAGCAGUGGGAGCACCUUCGGGUGUGACUGCGUACCUUUUGUAUAAUGGGUCAGCGACUUAUAUUCUGUAGCAAGGUUAACCGUAUAGGGGAGCCGCAGGGAAACCGAGUCUUAACUGGGCGUUAAGUUGCAGGGUAUAGACCCGAAACCCGGUGAUCUAGCCAUGGGCAGGUUGAAGGUUGGGUAACACUAACUGGAGGACCGAACCGACUAAUGUUGAAAAAUUAGCGGAUGACUUGUGGCUGGGGGUGAAAGGCCAAUCAAACCGGGAGAUAGCUGGUUCUCCCCGAAAGCUAUUUAGGUAGCGCCUCGUGAAUUCAUCUUCGGGGGUAGAGCACUGUUUCGGCUAGGGGGUCAUCCCGACUUACCAACCCGAUGCAAACUACGAAUACCGAAGAAUGUUAUCACGGGAGACACACGGCGGGUGCUAACGUCCGUCGUGAAGAGGGAAACAACCCAGACCGCCAGCUAAGGUCCCAAAGUCAUGGUUAAGUGGGAAACGAUGUGGGAAGGCACAGACAGCCAGGAUGUUGGCUUAGAAGCAGCCAUCAUUUAAAGAAAGCGUAAUAGCUCACUGGUCGAGUCGGCCUGCGCGGAAGAUGUAACGGGGCUAAACCAUGCACCGAAGCUGCGGCAGCGACACUAUGUGUUGUUGGGUAGGGGAGCGUUCUGUAAGCCUGCGAAGGUGUGCUGUGAGGCAUGCUGGAGGUAUCAGAAGUGCGAAUGCUGACAUAAGUAACGAUAAAGCGGGUGAAAAGCCCGCUCGCCGGAAGACCAAGGGUUCCUGUCCAACGUUAAUCGGGGCAGGGUGAGUCGACCCCUAAGGCGAGGCCGAAAGGCGUAGUCGAUGGGAAACAGGUUAAUAUUCCUGUACUUGGUGUUACUGCGAAGGGGGGACGGAGAAGGCUAUGUUAGCCGGGCGACGGUUGUCCCGGUUUAAGCAUGUAGGCUGAUUAUCCAGGCAAAUCCGGAUAAUCAAGGCUGAGGUGUGAUGACGAGGCACUACGGUGCUGAAGUAACAAAUGCCCUGCUUCCAGGAAAAGCCUCUAAGCAUCAGGUAACAUCAAAUCGUACCCCAAACCGACACAGGUGGUCAGGUAGAGAAUACCAAGGCGCUUGAGAGAACUCGGGUGAAGGAACUAGGCAAAAUGGUGCCGUAACUUCGGGAGAAGGCACGCUGGUGUGUAGGUGAAGCCCCUGCGGGUGGAGCUGAGACCAGUCGAAGAUACCAGCUGGCUGCAACUGUUUAUUAAAAACACAGCACUGUGCAAACACGAAAGUGGACGUAUACGGUGUGACGCCUGCCCGGUGCCGGAAGGUUAAUUGAUGGGGUUAUCCGUAAGGAGAAGCUCUUGAUCGAAGCCCCGGUAAACGGCGGCCGUAACUAUAACGGUCCUAAGGUAGCGAAAUUCCUUGUCGGGUAAGUUCCGACCUGCACGAAUGGCGUAAUGAUGGCCAGGCUGUCUCCACCCGAGACUCAGUGAAAUUGAACUCGCUGUGAAGAUGCAGUGUACCCGCGGCAAGACGGAAAGACCCCGUGAACCUUUACUAUAGCUUGACACUGAACAUUGAGCCUUGAUGUGUAGGAUAGGUGGGAGGCUUUGAAGCGUGGACGCCAGUCUGCGUGGAGCCAACCUUGAAAUACCACCCUUUAAUGUUUGAUGUUCUAACGUUGGCCCCUUACCGGGGUUGCGGACAGUGUCUGGUGGGUAGUUUGACUGGGGCGGUCUCCUCCCAAAGCGUAACGGAGGAGCACGAAGGUUAGCUAAUCCUGGUCGGACAUCAGGAGGUUAGUGCAAUGGCAUAAGCUAGCUUGACUGCGAGCGUGACGGCGCGAGCAGGUGCGAAAGCAGGUCAUAGUGAUCCGGUGGUUCUGAAUGGAAGGGCCAUCGCUCAACGGAUAAAAGGUACUCCGGGGAUAACAGGCUGAUACCGCCCAAGAGUUCAUAUCGACGGCGGUGUUUGGCACCUCGAUGUCGGCUCAUCACAUCCUGGGGCUGAAGUAGGUCCCAAGGGUAUGGCUGUUCGCCAUUUAAAGUGGUACGCGAGCUGGGUUUAGAACGUCGUGAGACAGUUCGGUCCCUAUCUGCCGUGGGCGCUGGAGAAUUGAGGGGGGCUGCUCCUAGUACGAGAGGACCGGAGUGGACGCAUCACUGGUGUUCGGGUUGUCAUGCCAAUGGCACUGCCCGGUAGCUAAAUGCGGAAGAGAUAAGUGCUGAAAGCAUCUAAGCACGAAACUUGCCCCGAGAUGAGUUCUCCCUGAGACUUUAAGUCUCCUGAAGGAACGUUAAAGACGAUGACGUUGAUAGGCCGGGUGUGUAAGCGCAGCGAUGCGUUGAGCUAACCGGUACUAAUGAACCGUGAGGCUUAACCUU